This is a long non-coding RNA of Daucus carota subsp. sativus, 2848 nucleotides long. RefSeq lists it as uncharacterized. The record is from RefSeq and is a predicted model, not a curated record. The transcript has 2 exons. NCBI's taxonomy places the organism in Eukaryota, Viridiplantae, Streptophyta, Magnoliopsida, Apiales, Apiaceae.
GAAGGCUCAAAAUUUUGUACUGUAACCCAUCUAAUCUGGUCCCAAAGAAAAGAGAAACUGAGCCGUGAGAAACAGACACAUUUUUAUCAGCCUUAAAGCAACAUCUCUUCUGAACAGGAUUGCAGAAAUGGCAAAGGUAAUGUAAAAGUUAGAGUUUUGAUAUCACCAAAACUCACGAGGACCCCAAAUGACAUUUUCUAGAAAGCAAUGACUUCCCAAGAAUCUUAACGAAACUCCGCAGAACCACGAUUUGGGUAGAAAGUUUGCCUGUCAUUUCUACAAGCAACUAAAUAUGACAGGAUCACACUCGACAUUAAGAGCGUUAAAUUAUAAAAAUCUUGGAAAAAUAAAAUCAAAACCUCUGACUUCUUUUGUCUAUAAGGACCUGCCUCACUAAAGCAGCACAUCUGUCAUAAUAAUCUGAAAAUAUGCUCAACUGCAAUUGAAAAGAAUUGUCCAAAUAUUGUAAUUAGGCUUCAGAAAGCCCCAUGUAUCGAGUACUUUCUGGGAAGCUUAGUUCGUUUAGUGUUAUACUGCAAUGACGAAUGAAGUCCAAAGCUCCCGAAUCAUAAUCAUUGAGGGAAUGAAUCUGUUGCUGAGUGAAAUUCGCGUUAAAUACUGGAUAUUCAGAGUAUCUGUCACAGCCUUGAUGGUGGAUUUAUUUGGAUUUAAGAAAGUUUUAGUGACAUUCAAUGAGCAGGGCAAGCAUCUGUGAAAUUAUCCUCCUUAUAUCUGCAAUUGCUUUUCAAGGACCUCUCUAUAAUCGUCUCCGUCUCCGGGCGCUUUAUCAAGAAGGUAUAUGAGUUUAUUAAGCUAAGUGACAAUUAUCUAAGGUUCUUGUAUAAACCAGUUCAAAAAAAGUUGCAGCUUAGAAGAAUAUAUUGUUCCUUGAACAGAACUAAACCAAGCUGCAACAAUAAUAACAGCUUGCAAUUCUAUUUAUUCACCUCAUAGAGUUACACAGUGGUCAUUAUUACGAAACAUUUCAAUUCAUCUAACAAAUCUGAGAAAUUGUAAUGAAGCUAAACAAUCUUUUAAAGGGCAAAAAAAGACCAAAUCUUAAAGGAAACCUUCUAGAGCGGAAAAACAUCUACUAUACACUAUAAGAUAUUAUUAAUUUUAUCUUGAAUCAUCUUAGUAACAGGCUUCGACGCCCUACAAGAAAGUCACAAACCAUGUUUCCCUGGCCCUUUAACGUGGCAGUCGAAAAGGAUUUGUCCCUUGAGGCUUUAAUGUAAGGUUCAAAAUAUUAAUCCUGUUAGGUGAUCUACUUCCUUAAGGAUUUAAGUUCAAAUCUUAACAUUUAUGCUGUCACUCUUAAGCAGAAGCAAAUCUGCACAACAUUUAAGACAUCUGCAAAAGUAUUACUAGGCAUUUGUAGAGAUUAAUGGCAUUAUUUUCCACGAUCUUGCAAUAUUACAUAAGAGCAAGUCCAAUAGGUUACCUAAACUUGCUCCUAAACUCACAUUUAGGUAAUGAACUAAAAAAAUGCACUCCAACACUCUCCUAGUGGUUACUUAAAUCACCAGCACAACCUCAAAUCUCCUAGCCAUUACCUAUUUAUAAGUAAUCACUAGCCAUUACCUAUUUAAUAUUUAUGAAUAAAAUAAUCAAUCUCUCUCCUUCUUUCUUUGUCUUUUUCCUCUCUUCUCCUUUCUCUCUCUCAAAUUUAUUACUAAAAUAAUCUUAGGAGAACAAAUAUAAGGAUUGCUAUUGGAGUUGACACUAAAAAUAGAUUACAUAAAUCACUAAGACUCGCUAGGAUUCAUUAUUUUAUAUUAUUAAUAGGUAAUGAGAUAAGUAACCUAUUGGACUUGCUCUAACUAGUAAAAAAGAACUUUAGCUACAACCAGAGAAGUGCCAUUUUCAAUUUUUUAUUGUCUAAUAGUAACUCUGUUUUUUAUGGAGGAAACAUCACAUACAAUGUUAAAGCUAGUUUCUGUAAAGUAAUCUAAGGAUCGCAAGAUCAUAACACAACUGAAUCCGCAAGGCUGAAAGUUCCAGGUUUACAUCAAUAUUAUUGCAGAAGACCAACUGCCCUAUAAGCUGUUAUUCAUAAUAUGGAUCCAAAGAUGGGUUAGUUUGAAGCCUUCCAUAAUUCAUAAUAUCAUCACUCACCCGAAAACACCAAAAAUUUACUCAACUCGUGUGAACUUCUAGGCAUGGCUAGUAAAAAGAGCUCAAAUCACAAUUUUUAUGUCAUAUGUCUGUUUAUAUAACAUACAUAAAGAUGAAGAACUUAGAAGCCUUUGGGGAGUGGUAGCAGAACGCCAGAACAUGAACUUAAAAUGUUACAAGUGUUUGGUAAAAAAAAAAAAACUCAAAAUCUCUAACGGUAAAUAUUACUCCUUCCCACUCAUUUUGUCUAACUUAGAAAUACACCGUAUAUUCACUAACAUUAAAUUAGCCGAUAAUUAUUAAAAAAAUUAUAUUGCUUUUCAUAUAUAUUAACUUAGUUUAUAUUGAAUUUGCCAUAUUUACUAAACAUGAUAAUUUUGGAUCACGUACAGUAGAAAAUGAGGGAUUCAAACAAACAAUAAAAAAAAAAAAUCAGUUAGAGCAUCUCCAACCCUCACAAGCCCUUAGGUAAAAGUCCACGUGGCUUUUCAAAAUUAAAUUUUAUAGCCAAUGUUCACAAAAACUGGAACUCCAGCCCCAGCAACCCCUUGUGUAUAAUUAUAGUCAUCCCACUAUGGAUGGCUAUAUUUGUCGAUCCGCUACCAAUCGGUAGCGAAUUCCACGUCAUCUCCAGCAAUUUAUUUUUCUACUUUCCACUGAUUACAUAUUAUUUAUUACCAUAUUAAACUGAAAUAUUCUAUUUAUUAUAAUCUAAAUAUUAAUAACAUGC